GGGGUUAUUCUGUAUGUUAGUAAAUUGAACACCAAUAAAAAAAAAAUAAAUAAAAAUAAAUAAAUAAAUAAAUAUUUGAGGUUCUAAUUUAUUAGAGGAUGUCUGAUGGCCUGUGGUUGCCCAGAGUGUGGCCAACAGGUGAGAGAAAGGGCUUCCAGGGAAGCUGAAUUUAAGCUCAACAGUCAGGGCCUGUGUCGAUGAAGAGGAUGAGGAGAGCUCUUCUAACAGAACAUUUUCUGUGACCCCUCCUGAACCAGUGUCCAGGUACCAUGACGUGUGCAUCCUGGGGAAGUGUCUGUGCAUGGAUAUAAAGUGAUGGCAUACAUCUUGGAAUUUAUAUCUGGUUCGGUGUGAAGCAACAAUAGAUGAGAAUGUGCCCAAGAGCAGAAGCAGCUUCCUACAUACCCUGAAUCCAGAGGUGUAGCUGGCGUGCCCUUCAGUGCCUCGGGAUUUCUCGAGCAGAUGAAGCCUUGCCCUGGAAUGCUUGGUGGCCCAUCUUGGUAGCAACCCCAGGAAGUGGCAAUCACAGAAAGGGUCUCCCUCAGAGCAAAUUGCCAAACAUCCCCAUUUCCUUCACUCUAAAGGGUUAUUCAUUGAUCCCCUUCCAGCGAGAACACAUUUUUUUAGAGCCUCUGAGGAAUGACAAAGGCUUAGAGUCAAUAAUGAUCGGUUUAUGAAGAGAAAUGAGACCCGAUUUUGCACCGUGAGCUGGCGAAGUGGGUCAUAUCUUCACACGAAUUUUUAAGUAAAAUUUGAAAAUCGCCUAUCACAGAAAGCUAUGUGACCCCAAAGGCAGUGAUAUUUUCUUUAGCAGUGAGGAGGUAGAGCUUAUGGGAAGCAGAAUGUAAUUAAAAGUCAUAUCCAAUAUUCUGCUGCUCAACUGAUGUCUUAUUAAAAAUGUGUGCUUGUGGCCAAGGAAGUAGGAGGUGCACUCUCAGCUGUCAGGCCGAGAAAAGAGUGCUGUGCCCAGGAUCCAUCCUGAAAGGCCUGCUCACUCAGAUCCCCGGUCCACGAGGAGGGAGUCGCUUACAUCGCCUUCCCACAUGACAAUCAAAAUCACACCACAGACUUCACUUUUCUCACUUCUCCUACACAAGGGCUCAUGGUUGGGCAUAAGAUAAUGAGGACAGGCUCUGUCACCCACAAUGUGGCAAGAUAAGAUGUAGCACAGUCAGGAGAAAUUAUUUUAGGGCCCCCUCCCCCAGAGUUCACACCGGUGACUCAAUUCAUCCCCUUUCUGGCUAAUGGGUGAGAGCAGACAUGGGAUCCUCAGAUGCCCUAAGUUUUAAUUCUGCUUCCACCACUGACUUCAUUUCUGUAAUAGGUAUACUAUAAACAUCUCCCGCAUGUGGCUCCUGGAAGACAGUGUUCAACUCUAACUCACCUUACUAAACUAUAAGGAACACCAAAUUAUAUUGUGAAGUCCUCUGUGAAGCUCGAUCAAAAUUUGCGUCACUCUCCAAUCUGCCCGGUGCCAGUCUCCCUGAUGCUUUGUGAACAGUCACUGCCUAUAAAUUGAGAUUUACC
RNAcentral lists this long non-coding RNA (1527 nucleotides) under Canis lupus familiaris (dog). Its description in RNAcentral is "lncRNA (ENSCAFG00000059200.1)". The record is from RNAcentral. Lineage: Eukaryota; Metazoa; Chordata; Mammalia; Carnivora; Canidae.